AUGCACUGGGGGUUCGUUGUUCAGGAAAACAGGAUUCUUAUGCUUACAGAGUUAAAAGAGCCUAUAAAGAUCCUUGUCUGAGUCUGGGGCUGCCACACAAGAUUUAGUAAAGAUGUUCUUUAUUUGAUAACAAUCUAUGAGUCAGAAAGUAAACAACCAGAGCACACCAUUUUUAAAAACCUGGCUGGGGAAAUCAGUUUCUUAAUAAUAUUCACAAUACUGUAUUGCUUUACUCUGAACACAGGAAAGACAGAAAGGAAGUGGUAAGAUGUAGGGUAAGACACUAGAGGCAGACUAUCGAGGUUCAAAUCCCAGCCCUACCACAACUGGCUGCAUGAAUCAGAGGAGUGACUGACUGAUCCACAAACCUCUUUCCUCAUUGAUAGAGGUGAUAAUAACAGCAGAGCUUGUGUCACGUGCAUGUGGACCACUGAAAGGGUUAAGUAGGAGAAUCCAUUAUUAGUGGAGAAGUUGGCAUACAGCAAACCUACCUCGAAAAGUGUUGCCUAUUACUAUAAUGGGGAAGGGAAAAUAGUUGUCAAUGUAGAAUACCAUUCUCUGGAAGUAUUUAACAUAGGAUAAAUUUUUAUAAGCCCCAGAUGAUUUAUUUGCUGACAACUUCUUAGGUCUCAUCAGUGCUUCUUUUUGCAGCCCCACCCUUGCACUGGCUUCGUAUUUACCAUUAUAACAACAAUAGAGGAAAGUAAAGCUGCAAGAGCCACAGACCAUUACACCACCAUGCCUGGCUUUCCCUUUGCAAUAGUCUGUUUUGAACCAAGCAGUCACUUACCUAAAAGGGGUGCUCUGCAAGGGAAUAAAUAAGUCAUUAUCUUAAUGCUUUUGCUUCAAAAAGAAGUGUAAGGUAUUACAAAAAUCAUGGGCUAAGAACCAGGCUGAAUUUCCGUGUUCACUUUGAAAGUUGGUAGUAACUGUAGUAUCCUGAAUGCUUUUCUGAGUUUCAAAAAACAUAAGAAAUAUCACCACUAUUUCCUGGUUGGAAGGGCAAAAUGAGAGAUCAGAGGCAAAGUGAGGAAUUGGAAGUGAGAAACUACAGCAAAUGACAUUAACAACUAGAUGACUAGAACAGGUUUCCAUGGAUUAUGGAAAAAAAAAAAAACCCCAAACCACAGUUGUUCCUUUGGCCACUAAAAGGCCAUUUCCUUUUGGCAUAAAACCAUGACGUACUUAGCUGUCUUGUCAGAAAAGUCAGAGCCAUUAUUAUGAGUGUGCAGAUUUGGAUUCACAAUUAGCACAACUGAAUGACAGUGAGAGAGUGAACACAAUCCCCCGAACAUACACGGGACAGAAAUCAAUACAGGUUUUCUCUCUUUUUGAUAUUCAGGUACAAAAUUUUUUUAAAGAUUUGGGAGUAUGAUAAACAAAAGUAGGGAGACC
Molecule: long non-coding RNA, 1395 nt
Filed under: Marmota monax (woodchuck)
Lineage: Eukaryota; Metazoa; Chordata; Mammalia; Rodentia; Sciuridae
Source: RNAcentral